GAUUACAAAAGUGAGACUAUAAUAAAUGAUGAUGGUUAUCUUAUAUAUAGAAGAAGAAAUGAUAGGGUUGCUAUUAAAAAUGGGAUUGAACUUGAUAAUAGAUUUGUUGUGCCUCACAGCCUUACAUUAGUUAAUAAAUACCAAGCUCAUAUUAAUGUUGAAUGAUGUAAUAAGUCGAGGCUUAUAAAGUAUUUGUUCAAAUAUGUUAAUAAAGGUCCGGAUCGAUCCGCCGUUGUUAUAGAAAAUAAUAUUAAUCAUGAAGCCUCUGGCUAGGGACAACGGUAUAAACAAGUUGAUGAAAUUAAGCAAUAUCUGGAUUGUCGAUAUUUAUCUGCGCAUGAGGCUGUUUGGAGGUUAUUUGAUUUUGAUAUUCACUUUAGAC
Molecule: long non-coding RNA, 382 nt
Filed under: Ananas comosus (pineapple)
Lineage: Eukaryota; Viridiplantae; Streptophyta; Magnoliopsida; Poales; Bromeliaceae
Description: long non-coding RNA (ACOM_LNC032664)
Source: RNAcentral